This 606-nucleotide long non-coding RNA is filed under the name Vigna radiata. RNAcentral's name for it is "long non-coding RNA (VRAD_LNC009936)". Lineage: Eukaryota; Viridiplantae; Streptophyta; Magnoliopsida; Fabales; Fabaceae. The record is from RNAcentral.
UCCAAAUUGGCAGGAAAAAGACAUGUGGGGAUUUUUCUACUUUAGGAAGAUGUAGACAAAAGAAUGAAUAUAGUGAUACUAUAAUUGAAUGAUUAUGUCUUCAUAGUAAAAAAGUAUAGAAAAUCAAAUAUGUUCAUAAAAAAUAGUUAAAUAUGUUUUUAGUUUCUAAACUAUUAAUUGAUUUUGUUUUGUUUCCUAUUUUCAAACUUUGGUACAAUUUGAUUCUUCUCCUUACGGAAAUCAUAAUUUUUCGUCCUCCAAAAUCAAUGGAGCUGGCUAACGAUAGUGCCAUGUGAUUUGACACUGAGUCAAUCUUUCCCAGCUUUUCUCCCUUCAUCAUUGGCAUCGUCUUAUCUGCAUCCCCGUCCACGUCACAACCUCGUCACCAAUUUCAACCACAAACCUUCGUCCCCAUCCCUGACCGCCGUCUUCAACGUUGAUUCCCUCCGGCUACUCCCCCCUCAAACGCCCCCUCCCUGAAUACCUCAAAUACGGCAUAAUCAACUUCUUAACAUCCAUAGUGAUUAGUGCAUUGUAAUUAAAAUUCAUUUCAUACAUGUAUCAACAUGGUAAAGUAAAGUGAAGAAGAAGUUAACAAACCCUAAU